Molecule: non-coding RNA, 69 nt
Organism: Rhizopogon vinicolor AM-OR11-026
Lineage: Eukaryota; Fungi; Basidiomycota; Agaricomycetes; Boletales; Rhizopogonaceae
Source: Rfam
GGCCGGUCUAAUGAUUAAGACGUCCCCACUGGAGUUGGGAAGGCCUGGGUUCAAUCCCUAGUCCAGCCA